GGAAUAUUGGACAAUGGGCGCAAGCCUGAUCCAGCCAUGCCGCGUGUGUGAAGAAGGUCUUCGGAUUGUAAAGCACUUUAAGUUGGGAGGAAGGGUUGUACGCUAAUACCGUGCAAUUUUGACGUUACUGACAGAAUAAGCACCGGCGAACUCUGUGCACGCAGCCGCGGUAAUACAGAGGGUGCAAGCGUUAAUCGGAAUUACUGGGCGUAAAGCGCGCGUAGGUGGUUUGUUAAGUUGGAUGUGAAAGCCCCGGGCUCAACCUGGGAACUGCAUCCAAAACUGGCAAGCUAGAGUACGGUAGAGGGUGGUGGAAUUUCCUGUGUAGCGGUGAAAUGCGUAGAUAUAGGAAGGAACACCAGUGGCGAAGGCGACCACCUGGACUGAUACUGACACUGAGGUGCGAAAGCGUGGGGAGCAA
Molecule: ribosomal RNA, 421 nt
Filed under: uncultured bacterium
Lineage: Bacteria
Description: bacterial SSU rRNA
Rfam family: Bacterial small subunit ribosomal RNA
Source: RNAcentral